This 343-nucleotide ribosomal RNA is filed under the name uncultured beta proteobacterium. RNAcentral describes it as "SSU rRNA". It matches the Rfam family "Bacterial small subunit ribosomal RNA", at positions 242 to 577 of the family's 1533-position model. Lineage: Bacteria; Pseudomonadati; Pseudomonadota; Betaproteobacteria. The record is from RNAcentral.
CAGCUAGUUGGUGGGGUAAAGGCCCACCAAGGCGACGAUCAGUAGCUGGUCUGAGAGGACGAUCAGCCACACUGGGACUGAGACACGGCCCAGACUCCUACGGGAGGCAGCAGUGGGGAAUUUUGGACAAUGGGGGCAACCCUGAUCCAGCAAUGCCGCGUGUGUGAAGAAGGCCUUCGGGUUGUAAAGCACUUUUGUCCGGAAAGAAAUCGCACUUACUAAUAUUAGGUGUGGAUGACGGUACCGGAAGAAUAAGGACCGGCUAACUACGUGCCAGCAGCCGCGGUAAUACGUAGGGUCCAAGCGUUAAUCGCAAUUACUGGGCGUAAAGCGUGCGCAGGCG